AUUGAACGCUGGCGGCAUGCCUAACACAUGCAAGUCGAACGGGGUAGCAAUACCCAGUGGCGGACGGGUGAGGAAUACAUAGGAAUUUGCCUUUAGGUGGGGGAUAGCCCGGGGAAACUCGGAGUAAUACCGCAUGAUGUCGAAAGACCAAAGUAGGGGAUCGCAAGACCUUGCGCCUUUAGAGAAGCCUAUGUCUGAUUAGCUAGUUGGUAGGGUAAUGGCCUACCAAGGCACGANCAGUAACUGGUCUGAGAGGACGAUCAGUCACACCGGAACUGAGACACGGUCCGGACUCCUACGGGAGGCAGCAGUGGGGAAUAUUGGACAAUGGGCGAAAGCCUGAUCCAGCAAUGCCGCGUGUGUGAAGAAG
This 370-nucleotide ribosomal RNA is filed under the name uncultured bacterium. Its description in RNAcentral is "bacterial SSU rRNA". It matches the Rfam family "Bacterial small subunit ribosomal RNA", at positions 30 to 413 of the family's 1533-position model. The record is from RNAcentral.